GGACAGGGCCAGGGAAGCGGUCAUGGAAGUGGUCAUGGACAGGGUAAGGGCCGGGGCUAGGGAAGCGGUCAUGGACAGGGUCAGGAAAAAGGCCAGGGAAGCGGUCGGGGACGGGGACAAGGCCGGGGUCAGGGAAGCGGCCAAGGACAGGGUCAGGGAAGCGGCAAGGGACAAGGCCGGGGUCAGGGACAAGGCCAGGGAAGCGGACAGGGACAAGGACAAGGACAGGGACAAGGCCUGGGAAGCGGACAAGGACAGGGAAGUGGUCAGGGACAGGGACAAGGACAGGGACAAGGCCAGGGAAGGGGUCAGGGACAAGGACAGGGACAAGGCCAGGGAAGCGGACAAGGACAGGGAAGUGGUCAGGGACAGGGACAAGGACAAGGACAAGGCCAGGGAAGCGGACAAGGACAGGGAAGUGGUCAGGGACACGGACAAGGCCAGGGAAGGGGCCAGGGCCAGGGCCAAGGUCAGGGACAGGGUCAGGGAAGCGGUCAGAGACAGGGUCAGGGAAGCAGCCAGGGACAGGGUCAGGGAAGCGGCCAGGGACAAGGACAAGGACAAGGCCAGGGAAGCGGACAAGGACAGGGAAGUGGUCAGGGACACGGACAAGGCCAGGGAAGGGGCCAGGGCCAGGGCCAAGGUCAGGGACAGGGUCAGGGAAGCGGUCAGAGACAGGGUCAGGGAAGCAGCCAGGGACAGGGUCAGGGAAGCGGCCAGGGCCAGGGCCAAGGUCAGGGACAGGGUCAGGGAAGCGGUCAGAGACAGGGUCAGGGAAGCGGCCAGGGACAAGGCCAAGGUCAGGGCCAGGGAAGCGGUCAGGGACAAGGCCAAGGCCAGGGACAGGGCCAGGGAAGCGGCCAGGGACAAGGCCAAGGUCAGGGCCAGGGAAGCGACCAGGGACAGGGCCAGGGAAGCGGUCAGGGACAAGGCCAAGGCCAAGGCCAGGGACAGGGCCAGGGAAGUGGCCAGGGCAGUGGUUAUGGCCAGGGCAGAGGUUAUGGCCAGGGAAGUGGCCAGGGAAGUGGUCAAGGGAACUGUCUGGCAUGUGGCAAAGGAAGCGGUCAGCAACGUGGUCGUUGAAUAGCUAAUGGGAAUUCUGCCUAACACUUACUGGAGAUCUUUUCAAUUCCAUGCUCUAUUCAUAUGGCAUGUUUUUUCAAACGGUUUAGAAAUUGUCUGUCCCCCACCUCAAAUAAAAAUAAUUUGCUUGAGUUUUUGGUAUCAUCUGGCUGUCUUCUCACAUAACUGCCUCCUGGCAUCAGUGCUUUAAGUUCCUCUCCUUGAGACCUGUUCAUUUAGAAAAGUAUUGUAUUUCAUCCUGAGCCCUAUGAGCCCCAACUUAAGACAUCAGAACAGUUUUCACGUCAAAAGUGCAACGCUUGCCAUAAAACCGCAAGUUAGAACCAUAAU
RNAcentral lists this long non-coding RNA (1413 nucleotides) under Carassius auratus (goldfish). RNAcentral describes it as "lncRNA (ENSCARG00000061611.1)". Lineage: Eukaryota; Metazoa; Chordata; Actinopteri; Cypriniformes; Cyprinidae. The record is from RNAcentral.